AGUGAACGCUGGCGGUAGGCCUAACACAUGCAAGUCGAACGGCAGCACAGUAAGAGCUUGCUCUUACGGGUGGCGAGUGGCGGACGGGUGAGGAAUACAUCGGAAUCUACUUUUUCGUGGGGGAUAACGUAGGGAAACUUACGCUAAUACCGCAUACGACCUACGGGUGAAAGCAGGGGAUCUUCGGACCUUGCGCGAUUCAAUGAGCCGAUGUCGGAUUAGCUAGUUGGCGGGGUAAAGGCCCACCAAGGCGACGAUGCGUAGCUGGUCUGAGAGGAUGAUCAGCCACACUGGAACUGAGACACGGUCCAGACUCCUACGGGAGGCAGCAGUGGGGAAUAUUGGACAAUGGGCGCAAGCCUGAUCCAGCCAUACCGCGUGGGUGAAGAAGGCCUUCGGGUUGUAAAGCCCUUUUGUUGGGAAAGAAAAGCAGCAGGUUAAUACCCCGCUGUUCUGACGGUACCCAAAGAAUAAGCACCGGCUAACUUCGUG
This 492-nucleotide ribosomal RNA is filed under the name uncultured bacterium. Its description in RNAcentral is "partial 16S ribosomal RNA". It matches the Rfam family "Bacterial small subunit ribosomal RNA", at positions 29 to 507 of the family's 1533-position model. The record is from RNAcentral.